Molecule: transfer RNA, 73 nt
Filed under: Candidatus Moranbacteria bacterium RIFCSPHIGHO2_02_FULL_40_12b
Lineage: Bacteria; Candidatus Moraniibacteriota
Also listed under: 1 other name
Description: tRNA-Ala
Rfam family: tRNA
About the family: Transfer RNA (tRNA) molecules are approximately 80 nucleotides in length. Their secondary structure includes four short double-helical elements and three loops (D, anti-codon, and T loops). Further hydrogen bonds mediate the characteristic L-shaped molecular structure. tRNAs have two regions of fundamental functional importance: the anti-codon, which is responsible for specific mRNA codon recognition, and the 3' end, to which the tRNAs corresponding amino acid is attached (by aminoacyl-tRNA synthetases). tRNAs cope with the degeneracy of the genetic code in two manners: having more than one tRNA (with a specific anti-codon) for a particular amino acid; and 'wobble' base-pairing, i.e. permitting non-standard base-pairing at the 3rd anti-codon position.
Source: RNAcentral
GGGGAUAUAGCUCAGUUGGUAGAGCGCUUCCAUGGCAUGGAAGAGGUCAGGAGUUCGAGUCUCCUUAUCUCCA